RNAcentral lists this ribosomal RNA (380 nucleotides) under uncultured bacterium. Its description in RNAcentral is "bacterial SSU rRNA". It matches the Rfam family "Archaeal small subunit ribosomal RNA", at positions 473 to 853 of the family's 1478-position model. The record is from RNAcentral. RNAcentral also lists the same sequence under 1 other name.
AUACCUGCAGCUCAAGUGGUGAUCGUUAUUAUUGGGCCUAAAACGUCCGUAGCCGGUCUAUUAAAUGCCUGGGUAAAUCGUGCCGCUUAACGGUACGAAUUCCGGGUAGACUGAUAGACUUGAGAUCGGGAGAGGCUAGAGGUACUCCUGGGGUAGAGGUGAAAUUCUGUAAUCCUGGGGGGACCACCAGUGGCGAAGGCGUCUAGCUAGAACGAGUCUGACGGUGAGGGACGAAGCCCUGGGGCGCAAACCGGAUUAGAUACCCGGGUAGUCCAGGGUGUAAACGCUGCUUGCUUGAUGUUGGUUGGGCUCCGAGCCCAAUCAGUGUCGGAGUGAAGAUGUUAAGCAAGCUGCCUGGGAAGUACGGUCGCAAGACUGAA